UGGCGGCAGGCCUAACACAUGCAAGUCGAGCGGUAACAUUUCUAGCUUGCUAGAAGAUGACGAGCGGCGGACGGGUGAGUAACGCGUAGAAAUCUACCUAGUAGUGGGGGAUAGCCCAGAGAAAUUUGGAUUAAUACCGCAUACGCCCUACGGGGGAAAGCGGGGGAUCUUCGGACCUCAUGCUAUUAGAUGAGUCUGCGUCGGAUUAGCUUGUUGGUGAGGUAAUGGCUCACCAAGGCGACGAUCCGUAGCUGGUCUGAGAGGAUGACCAGCCACACUGGAACUGAGACACGGUCCAGACUCCUACGGGAGGCAGCAGUGGGGAAUAUUGCACAAUGGGCGCAAGCCUGAUGCAGCCAUGCCGCGUGUGUGAAGAAGGCCUUAGGGUUGUAAAGCACUUUCAGCAGUGAGGAAAGGGGUGUCGUUAAUAGCGCCAUCCUGUGACGUUAACUGCAGAAGAAGGACCGGCUAACUCCGUG
This 479-nucleotide ribosomal RNA is filed under the name uncultured bacterium. RNAcentral describes it as "bacterial SSU rRNA". It matches the Rfam family "Bacterial small subunit ribosomal RNA", at positions 37 to 507 of the family's 1533-position model. The record is from RNAcentral.